This 332-nucleotide ribosomal RNA is filed under the name uncultured eukaryote. Its description in RNAcentral is "partial 18S ribosomal RNA". It matches the Rfam family "Eukaryotic small subunit ribosomal RNA", at positions 1470 to 1796 of the family's 1831-position model. The record is from RNAcentral.
CCCUUAGAUGUCCUGGGCUGCACGCGCGCUACACUGGAAGUUACGGAUUGAGAUACUACCUUGUCCGAAAUGGUCCGGGUAAUCACCUAAAAGCUUGUCAUAAUUGGAAUGGAUUAUUGUAACUAGUAAUCCUGAACGAGGAAUUCCUAGUAAGUCCCAGUCAACAGCUGGUACUGAUUACGUCCCUGCCCUUUGUACACACCGCCCGUCGCUACUACUGAUUGGACGUUUAAGCAAGAUUUUUAAACACUGACAGUGUGUAGUUCACGCUUUACUACAGUGAGAAGAAGAAGAUCGAGCUUACUUGUCUAGAGGAAGUAAAAGUCGUAACA